RNAcentral lists this ribosomal RNA (251 nucleotides) under uncultured bacterium. Its description in RNAcentral is "partial 16S ribosomal RNA". It matches the Rfam family "Bacterial small subunit ribosomal RNA", at positions 524 to 776 of the family's 1533-position model. The record is from RNAcentral.
UACGUAGGGGGCAAGCGUUGUCCGGAUUUAUUGGGCGUAAAGAGCGUGUAGGCGGUUCGGUAGGUCCGUUGUGAAAACUCGAGCUCAACCUCGAGACGCCGAUGGAAACCCCCGAACUAGAGUCCGGAAGAGGAGAGUGGAAUUCCUGGUGUAGCGGUGAAAUGCGCAGAUAUCAGGAAGAACACCCGUGGCUAAGGCGGCUCUCUAGUACGGUACUGACGCUGAGACGCGAAAGCGUGGGAGCGAACAGG